GUAAUGUCCAAAUGUCGUUCAGGGCCUUACCCAAGACCCAGCGAUCAAUUUUUGGGUGUCCGCCCAGGAGGGUGGACAA
Molecule: small nuclear RNA, 79 nt
Filed under: Thelazia callipaeda (thelaziosis nematode)
Lineage: Eukaryota; Metazoa; Nematoda; Chromadorea; Rhabditida; Thelaziidae
Description: SmY spliceosomal RNA
Rfam family: SmY spliceosomal RNA
Source: Rfam by way of RNAcentral